This 1031-nucleotide long non-coding RNA is filed under the name Dasypus novemcinctus (nine-banded armadillo). RNAcentral's name for it is "lncRNA (ENSDNOG00000050610.1)". The record is from RNAcentral. Lineage: Eukaryota; Metazoa; Chordata; Mammalia; Cingulata; Dasypodidae.
GCAUCCCCCCUGCCCGAGGACACCAGCUGCCUCCAGCCGGGGGACACCCAGCCCGAGCUGCCACCCACGCUCCUGGAGACAGACAGUGACGGCCACAGGUCCUCGAAAGCCACGCCUUCCAGAAGGCCCGGGAGGCAAGGCUCUCUUCUCCCCCCGCCCUCCCUCCGCAUCCUGCUGACCCCGCCGGCGCACGAGAAGCCGAGCCCCCCGGGCAUGAAGGCGCUGGCCGCCAGGCUGUGCCCCCUGGCCGGCCUGGACCCGGGCACCCCGAGGGCGCUGAGCCCGCAGGCCCGGAAGGAGAUGGCGGCGGGCACCCAGAGCAUCUCGCGCAUCGCGGCCUCCCGGCGCUCCAGGGCGCAGGACCGGGACGAGGCGGCCCCCGGCUGCAGGGGCCCCAUGGAGAGGAGGGCCCGGAAGAAGAGGUCGUCCUCCGUCAGCGGCAGCGGGCAGCCGGCGAUGGAGAAGCUUCAGCCGCCCUCUGCGGAGCACGUGGCCGCGAGCCCGCCGGCCCCGGCGCCCGUCCUCCAGCCGCCCAGGCCGGGAAGGGGCCUCUUCCCCGCCGUGCCCACGGCCUCCAGCCUGAAGCCCGGCCUCAGCCUCCACGCAGACGAGAACGCGCAGCGUGGGGCCCGAGGUCAGCUUCACCUUCCCCAGCGCCGCGUGGCAGGGCAGCGCGGGCCCCGGCAGGGCGCCCCGGGAGCCCCGAGGGUCGACGGACAGCGGGGGCCGACGACACAGCCCCCUGCCCCCCAGCACCCCCCGCAAGCACCCGGGAGGCAGCGCCCAGAGGCCACGGAGACCGAAAUGAGCCGGCGGUGGGCCAGGGGCGCGGCUGGGCCCGGGCCCGGGGGUCUCGGCCCCAAAGUUGGAUGAGAGGCCUGGGGGCUCCAGCAGGGACACUUGGGGGUGAGGCCCCCGAACCCCAGCUUCUCACAGCCCCUUUCUUCAGAGCCAGUGGCCGCCCCCCCCGCCUCCCGGCCUGUCCCUCCCGGGUCCCCUCCUGGACAGCCCGGGCUCUCGCCGGCCCCUCC